Molecule: long non-coding RNA, 798 nt
Organism: Oncorhynchus tshawytscha (Chinook salmon)
Lineage: Eukaryota; Metazoa; Chordata; Actinopteri; Salmoniformes; Salmonidae
Exons: 3
Source: RefSeq, a predicted model, not a curated record
CAGUCAGCUUUGGAUAUGAAGUGACUGAUUUCCUCCACUACAAAGAUGGUGUGUACAGCAGCACUACGUGUAAGAACACUACAGACAAUGUGAACCAUGCUGUACUGGCAGUGGGAUAUGGUGAAAGAAUAGCACUCCAUAUUGGAUCGUGAAAAACUCCUGGGGCACCAACUGGGGAAUGGAUGGAUAUUUCCUAAUAGAAUGAGGGAGGAACAUGUGUGGACUGGCAGCCUGCUCCUCUUGUCCUCUCCCCCCGGUGUGAUGUAACGGGAACUCAGAAGAGAAGAAGAGAACGCCACAGUCAAUCUUCAGCUACAGUAUGAGAACUCAGGAAAAACAGGAUACAUUUUCUCAUUCAGAGGAAGGGAGUGGGCAUCUCUUAUUUGCAUGGACAUGUUUUUAAGAACUGUAGUUAUACUGUUACAAUGUGAGUUCGACAUUUUACAAGUUACUUAUUUUAAAUGAAUUAUAACUGGAUCGUAUUAUGAAGGUUUGUACGGUAUAUGGUAAGUGGCUGGUCAUGGUUAAGUUAGUAGGCAACGACUGGGUAGUGAGAGUCUUUGAAUCGUGUGCUUAUGUAGCCACAUAUUGCUUCAGUUGAAUGUGUAAGAGAUCCUAGUUAGUACUAGGAAGCAUCACCAAUAUUUUAGCUUCUCUUGAUUUGACAUUUUGGUUAGUGUUUAGAGGUUUGUACUAGGCAUAUUUUGUGUAUAUUAGACUGAUGCUGCUGAGGGUUACUUUUUUUGCAUGUAGUUUUGUAAAAAAUAAAAAUAUAGUACUAGUCUGUAUAAACACACA